CAAUAGCGUAUAUUUAAGUUGUUGCAGUUAAAAAGCUCGUAGUUGGAUUUCGGAUGGGACUUGCCGGUCCGUCGUUUCGAUGUGCACUGGCCAGUCCUAUCUUGUUGUCGGGGACUAGCUCCUGGGCUUCACUGUCCGGGACUAGGAGCUGACGAGGUUACUUUGAGUAAAUUAGAGUGUUCAAAGCAAGCCUACGCUCUGAAUACAUUAGCAUGGAAUAACACGAUAGGACUCUGGCUUACCUUGUUGGUCUGUGAGACCAGAGUAAUGAUUAAGAGGGACAGUCGGGGGCAUUCGUAUUUCAUUGUCAGAGGUGAAAUUCUUGGAUUUAUGAAAGACGAACUUCUGCGAAAGCAUUUGUCAAGGAUGUUUUCAUUAA
This 379-nucleotide ribosomal RNA is filed under the name uncultured eukaryote. Its description in RNAcentral is "partial 18S ribosomal RNA". It matches the Rfam family "Eukaryotic small subunit ribosomal RNA", at positions 592 to 976 of the family's 1831-position model. The record is from RNAcentral.